UGGGGAAUCUUGCACAAUGGGGGCAACCCUGAUGCAGCGACGCCGCGUGAGCGAUGAAGCCCUUCGGGGUGUAAAGCUCUUUCGGCCGGAACGAUGAUGACGGUACCGGCAGAAGAAGCUGCGGCUAACUACGUGCCAGCAGCCGCGGUAAUACGUAGGCAGCGAGCGUUGUUCGGAGUUACUGGGCGUAAAGAGUGCGUAGGCGGUGCUCUAAGUUUGGUGUGAAAUCUCCCGGCUCAACUGGGAGGGUGCGCCGAAAACUGGAGUGCUCGAGUGUGGGAGAGGUAAGCGGAAUUCCUGGUGUAGCGGUGAAAUGCGUAGAUAUCAGGAGGAACACCUGCGGUGUAGACGGCUUACUGGACCAUGACUGACGCUGAGGCACGAAAGCGUGGGGAGCAAACA
Molecule: ribosomal RNA, 402 nt
Filed under: uncultured bacterium
Lineage: Bacteria
Also listed under: 1 other name
Description: partial 16S ribosomal RNA
Rfam family: Bacterial small subunit ribosomal RNA
Source: RNAcentral